This 497-nucleotide ribosomal RNA is filed under the name uncultured bacterium. RNAcentral's name for it is "partial 16S ribosomal RNA". It matches the Rfam family "Bacterial small subunit ribosomal RNA", at positions 28 to 507 of the family's 1533-position model. The record is from RNAcentral.
GAUGAACGCUGGCGGCGUGCCUAAUACAUGCAAGUCGAGCGAACAGACGAGGAGCUUGCUCCUCUGACGUUAGCGGCGGACGGGUGAGUAACACGUGGAUAACCUACCUAUAAGACUGGGAUAACUUCGGGAAACCGGAGCUAAUACCGGAUAACAUGUUGAACCGCAUGGUUUAACAGUGAAAGACGGUCUUGCUGUCACUUAUAGAUGGAUCCGCGCCGCAUUAGCUAGUUGGUAAGGUAACGGCUUACCAAGGCGACGAUGCGUAGCCGACCUGAGAGGGUGAUCGGCCACACUGGAACUGAGACACGGUCCAGACUCCUACGGGAGGCAGCAGUAGGGAAUCUUCCGCAAUGGGCGAAAGCCUGACGGAGCAACGCCGCGUGAGUGAUGAAGGUCUUCGGAUCGUAAAACUCUGUUAUUAGGGAAGAACAAAUGUGUAAGUAACUAUGCACGUCUUGACGGUACCUAAUCAGAAAGCCACGGCUAACUACGUG